RNAcentral lists this RNase P RNA (321 nucleotides) under Octodon degus (degu). Its description in RNAcentral is "Nuclear RNase P (ENSODEG00000025895.1)". It matches the Rfam family "Nuclear RNase P". From Rfam's summary of the family: Ribonuclease P (RNase P) is a ubiquitous endoribonuclease, found in archaea, bacteria and eukarya as well as chloroplasts and mitochondria. Its best characterised activity is the generation of mature 5'-ends of tRNAs by cleaving the 5'-leader elements of precursor-tRNAs. The record is from Rfam by way of RNAcentral. Lineage: Eukaryota; Metazoa; Chordata; Mammalia; Rodentia; Octodontidae.
GGUGGAGGGAAGCUCAUCAGUGGGGCUACGAGCUGAGUGCGUCACGUCACUCUGUAGCGCGUCCCUUGGGAAGGUCUGAGACUAGGGCCAACGGCGGCCCUAACAGGGCCCUCCCUGAGCGCGGGGAGGUGAGUUCCCAGAGAGCGGGGCUCCGCGCGAGGGUAGACUGGGCAGGAGAAGCCCGGGCCUCCCGCGGAGGACCUGGCGGAUGCCCCCUUAGCCGGAGCUUGGAACAGACUCACGGCCGGCGCAGUGAGUUCAAUGGCUGAGGUGAGGCACCCCCGGGGCCUCAUAACCCAAUUCAGACUACUCUCCCCCGCC